AGCACUUAAGCGAGGAGAGCUCUUAGGUCAUCCUGAUGUGGAUCGUACUCGCAGAAUAAGCACGGCUACUCGAGCCAGCAGCGCGUAAUACAGAGGGUGCCGAGCUGUUAUCGGAUUAACUGGACGUAAGCGUGCGGUAGGCGGCUGAUCAAGUCGGAUGUGAAAUCCCUGAGCUUAACUUAGGAAUUGCAUUCCGAUACUGGUCAGCUAGAGUAUGGGAGAGGAUGGUAGAAUUUCCAGGUGUAGCGGUGAAAUGCGUAGAGAUCUGGAGGAAUACCGAUGGCGAAGGCAGCCAUCUGGCCUAAUACUGACGCUGAGGUACGAAAGCAUGGGGAGCAAACAGGAUUAGAUACCCUGGUAGUCCAUGCCGUAAACGAUGUCUACUAGCCGUUGGGGCCUUUGAGGCUUUAGUGGCGCAGCUAACGCGAUAAGUAGACCGCCUGGGGAGUACGGUCGCAAGACUAAAACUCAAAUGAAUUGACGGGGGCCCGCACAAGCGGUGGAGCAUGUGGUUUAAUUCGAUGCAACGCGAAGAACCUUACCUGGUCUUGACAUAGUAAGAACUUUCCAGAGAUGGAUUGGUGCCUUCGGGAACUUACAUACAGGUGCUGCAUGGCUGUCGUCAGCUCGUGUCGUGAGAUGUUGGGUUA
RNAcentral lists this ribosomal RNA (650 nucleotides) under Acinetobacter haemolyticus. RNAcentral's name for it is "bacterial SSU rRNA". It matches the Rfam family "Bacterial small subunit ribosomal RNA", at positions 429 to 1082 of the family's 1533-position model. Lineage: Bacteria; Pseudomonadati; Pseudomonadota; Gammaproteobacteria; Moraxellales; Moraxellaceae. The record is from RNAcentral.